UUUAAGGGUUUAUACGAUAAAAUAUUGGUUUAGGAUUUAGCAUUUGGGUUAGGGUUUAGUUAUCUGAUUUAGCGUUUACAGUUUAAAUUUUAGAGUUUAGAGUUUACAUUGCGGUGAUAUCGUCGCUACAAUUGAUAUUAUUGUUUUUUCUUGUAAUUUAGAUUUUUGUAGACAAAAAUUAAUAUUUUUAAAGUCUAAUCUAGUUGGCAAUUUGAUUGUUGAUAAAAGUUGUGGUCAAUUUAAAGGUUCUCUAUAUUGGUUAAUAUAAGUUUUGUUAGUUUAUGGAUGAUGACUCGUAUAGCUGGCUGUAAAAGCUAAUCCCAUCUAAUAGUUAAUUAAAUUCGGUUAGAACCACUUUUCAUAUCUCGUACUCCAUCUCCUAAUUAUUGGAAUUAGUUUUCGAUUGAGUGUGUGGGUGUACAGAAUAGGUUGUAUUGUAUGGUUUUUUUUAUAUAAUCAGUGUUGUUCGGGAUAGUGUCACAAUCUUCUAUGGGUUAACGUUGACAUGCAUGUAUUGAUUAAAUCUUAUGUUUGAGUUUCUGUUUUUGUUGUACAAUAAGAUUAUAGUAGAACUUAUUAUAUAUGUAUAACUGGUUUUCAAAUUUACAAUCAUACAAAAUUUUAAUACUUCACCUAUAAACGUACUUGUUCGUUUGUUUUGCGUUUACCUUUACAUUUAUGCUAUUAUUAUUAUAUAUGAUUCUACCAAAAGAGUUAACGUUAAUGUUCUACUAUUGGGUUGGGUUUAGGUUUCUAUUUAACUUAUUCGAUUUAGUUUUGUAUAUGUUCGUGAUUGUGCAUUGUCUUUAUAUUUCAACAUACGGUUUCAGUUAUAGGAAAACCACGGAGUUUGGAUUUAUGAAAUAUCAAGUGGUUUGGAUUUACGUAUCAAAUUACAAAUGGUUUUGAGGUUCGUUUAU
RNAcentral lists this long non-coding RNA (920 nucleotides) under Brassica napus (rape). Its description in RNAcentral is "long non-coding RNA (BNAP_LNC017411)". The record is from RNAcentral. Lineage: Eukaryota; Viridiplantae; Streptophyta; Magnoliopsida; Brassicales; Brassicaceae.